AACUGUUCCGUUGUGUUUUUUUAUUAUGGGAAAUAUUUUUUUUAGGUUUUAACUAAUAUCCUAAUGGUUUUAUAAGGAGUGGUUGGGAUUAAACAAUAAUAAAUUUGAUUUAGUAAAGCCUCUUAUCGGAUAAAAAUAAGUGCCAGUAAUCACGGUUAUACUUAUCGGUGUAAAAGUUAUAUAACGACUGUUUUUGCAAACUUUAUUUAGCUGUUGUAAAAAUUUGCUAUUUGGAGUUAAAAAUAAAUUUAUUGACAUGGAUUAGAUACCCAUCUAUAAAAUAUACAAAGUAUAAAUUAAUAUAAAUAUAAAUAAUUAGACGGUAAAUUAUAUACAGAGGUGCUUGUUUUGUAAUAUGAUAAUCCGCAUUAGUUCUGUUCUUUAUAAAGUGUAUGUCCGUUUUAUAUAAAAUUAUUUUAUGUUUUUUCAGGUCCCCAUGCUAUUAGAGCAGUUUUUUAUGAGCAGCAGUAAUUUUUUGGUUUUUUGUUGAGAAACUUAAUUGAGAGAGGAUUUGUAAGUAAAUUUACGUUAUUAACUUUUUUUGAAUAAUUUAAUUUUGAGUACUCACCGCCCGCUAAUAAGGUUGUAAAAUUUUAUAAAGCGUAACAAGGUAAGUUUUCUAGAAAGAGAACUUGGAUAAAU
Molecule: ribosomal RNA, 642 nt
Filed under: Botryllus schlosseri
Lineage: Eukaryota; Metazoa; Chordata; Ascidiacea; Stolidobranchia; Styelidae
Description: small ribosomal RNA
Source: RNAcentral